AGAAAUGUAACGAUAGGAAAUAGUAGUGAUAGUUUGUUCUAUAGAGAGUCAAUGGCUGGUGGAAAUUGACGUUCAACUAUAAUGAAUCCAUCCUUGAACAUGCUUAUGAAAGAAUUGUUUCUGUAAGUAAGCACGGCAGACACCGUUAAAAGUUAGUAGAGCCGGAAGGUAUUAAUAUGCCUUCAAUCAGGGUGGCAACGCGGGAAUUAAUACUCUCGUCCCUUUU
This 226-nucleotide non-coding RNA is filed under the name Oceanobacillus iheyensis. RNAcentral describes it as "T-box sequence". It matches the Rfam family "T-box leader". From Rfam's summary of the family: Uncharged tRNA acts as the effector for transcription antitermination of genes in the T-box leader family. T-boxes are found upstream of many aminoacyl-tRNA synthetase genes and some amino acid biosynthetic genes usually in Gram-positive bacteria. The record is from RNAcentral. Lineage: Bacteria; Bacillati; Bacillota; Bacilli; Caryophanales; Bacillaceae.